AUUGAACGCUGGCGGCAGGCCUAACACAUGCAAGUCGAACGCGUCGGGCACGUGUGUGAAAUGUCUGGGAAAUAGCUUUAAGGAGGGGGAUAACUACUGGAAACGGUACCUAAUACCGCAAACCAUUCAAUGUUCCCUGAUUGGUCUAGCUAGUGGGUGGGGUAAAGGCUCACCUAGGCGACGAUCCCUAGCUGGUCUGAGAGGAUGACCGGCCACACUGGAACUGAGACACGGUCCAGACUCCUACGGGAGGCAGCAGUGGGGAAUAUUGCGCAAUGGGCGCAAGCCUGAUGCAGCCAUGCCGCGUGUGUGAAGAAGGCCUUCGGGUUGUAAAGUACUUUCAGCAGGGAGGCGGUACCCGAAGAGAAAGCACCGGCUAACUCCGUGCCAGCAGCCGCGGUAAUUC
Molecule: ribosomal RNA, 406 nt
Filed under: uncultured bacterium
Lineage: Bacteria
Description: partial 16S ribosomal RNA
Rfam family: Bacterial small subunit ribosomal RNA
Source: RNAcentral